GUGUCAGCCGCCGCGGUAAUACGGAGGGUGCAAGCGUUGUCCGGAUUUAUUGGGUUUAAAGGGUGCGUAGGCGGCCGAUUAAGUCAGCGGUGAAAGUUUUGGGCUCAACCCAGAAAUUGCCAUUGAUACUGGUCGGCUUGAGUAUUGCAGGGGUACAUGGAAUUGAUGGUGUAGCGGUGAAAUGCAUAGAUACCAUCAGGAACACCGAUAGCGAAGGCAUUGUACUGGGCAACCACUGACGCUGAUGCACGAAAGCAUGGGGAGCGAACAGGAUUAGAAACCCCAGUAGUCC
Molecule: ribosomal RNA, 292 nt
Filed under: uncultured bacterium
Lineage: Bacteria
Description: partial 16S ribosomal RNA
Rfam family: Bacterial small subunit ribosomal RNA
Source: RNAcentral